GAGACAAUUUAUUUAGUCAAAGUGCUUGCCUCACAAGCAUGAAGACCUGGGUUUGAUCCCCAGGACUCA
This 69-nucleotide transfer RNA is filed under the name Neotoma lepida (desert woodrat). It matches the Rfam family "tRNA". Rfam says of the family: Transfer RNA (tRNA) molecules are approximately 80 nucleotides in length. Their secondary structure includes four short double-helical elements and three loops (D, anti-codon, and T loops). Further hydrogen bonds mediate the characteristic L-shaped molecular structure. tRNAs have two regions of fundamental functional importance: the anti-codon, which is responsible for specific mRNA codon recognition, and the 3' end, to which the tRNAs corresponding amino acid is attached (by aminoacyl-tRNA synthetases). tRNAs cope with the degeneracy of the genetic code in two manners: having more than one tRNA (with a specific anti-codon) for a particular amino acid; and 'wobble' base-pairing, i.e. permitting non-standard base-pairing at the 3rd anti-codon position. The record is from Rfam by way of RNAcentral. Lineage: Eukaryota; Metazoa; Chordata; Mammalia; Rodentia; Cricetidae.